AUUGAGCGCUGGCGGCAGGCCUAACACAUGCAAGUCGAGCGGAUGAAGGGAGCUUGCUCCUGGAUUCAGCAGCGGACGGGUGAGUAAUGCCUAGGAAUCUGCCUGGUAGUGGGGGAUAACGUCCGGAAACGGGCGCUAAUACCGCAUACGUCCUGAGGGAGAAAGUGGGGGAUCUUCGGACCUCACGCUAUCAGAUGAGCCUAGGUCGGAUUAGCUAGUUGGUGGGGUAAAGGCCUACCAAGGCGACGAUCCGUAACUGGUCUGAGAGGAUGAUCAGUCACACUGGAACUGAGACACGGUCCAGACUCCUACGGGAGGCAGCAGUGGGGAAUAUUGGACAAUGGGCGAAAGCCUGAUCCAGCCAUGCCGCGUGUGUGAAGAAGGUCUUCGGAUUGUAAAGCACUUUAAGUUGGGAGGAAGGGCAGUAAGUUAAUACCUUGCUGUUUUGACGUUACCAACAGAAUAAGCACCGGCUAACUUCGUG
Molecule: ribosomal RNA, 484 nt
Filed under: uncultured bacterium
Lineage: Bacteria
Description: partial 16S ribosomal RNA
Rfam family: Bacterial small subunit ribosomal RNA
Source: RNAcentral